RNAcentral lists this ribosomal RNA (618 nucleotides) under Staphylococcus haemolyticus. RNAcentral's name for it is "bacterial SSU rRNA". It matches the Rfam family "Bacterial small subunit ribosomal RNA", at positions 79 to 682 of the family's 1533-position model. Lineage: Bacteria; Bacillati; Bacillota; Bacilli; Caryophanales; Staphylococcaceae. The record is from RNAcentral.
CUUGCUCCUUUGACGUUAGCGGCGGACGGGUGAGUAACACGUGGGUAACCUACCUAUAAGACUGGGAUAACUUCGGGAAACCGGAGCUAAUACCGGAUAAUAUUUCGAACCGCAUGGUUCGAUAGUGAAAGAUGGUUUUGCUAUCACUUAUAGAUGGACCCGCGCCGUAUUAGCUAGUUGGUAAGGUAACGGCUUACCAAGGCGACGAUACGUAGCCGACCUGAGAGGGUGAUCGGCCACACUGGAACUGAGACACGGUCCAGACUCCUACGGGAGGCAGCAGUAGGGAAUCUUCCGCAAUGGGCGAAAGCCUGACGGAGCAACGCCGCGUGAGUGAUGAAGGUCUUCGGAUCGUAAAACUCUGUUAUUAGGGAAGAACAUACGUGUAAGUAACUAUGCACGUCUUGACGGUACCUAAUCAGAAAGCCACGGCUAACUACGUGCCAGCAGCCGCGGUAAUACGUAGGUGGCAAGCGUUAUCCGGAAUUAUUGGGCGUAAAGCGCGCGUAGGCGGUUUUUUAAGUCUGAUGUGAAAGCCCACGGCUCAACCGUGGAGGGUCAUUGGAAACUGGAAAACUUGAGUGCAGAAGAGGAAAGUGGAAUUCCAUGGGUAUAGCC